CCUACGGGAGGCAGCAGUGAGGAAUAUUGGUCAAUGGACGCAAGUCUGCACCAGCCAUGCCGCGUGCAGGAAGACGGCUCUAUGAGUUGUAAACUGCUUUUGUACGAGGGUAAACGCAGAUACGCGUAUCUGUCUGAAAGUAACGUACGAAUAAGGAUCGGCUAACUCCGUGCCAGCAGCCGCGGUAAUCCGGAGGAUUCAAGCGUUAUCCGGAUUUAUUGGGGUUAAAGGGUGCGUAGGCGGUCGGAUAAGUUAGAGGUGAAAUACCGAGGCUCAACUUCGGAAUUGCCUCUGAUACUGGUCGGAUAGAGAGUAGUUGCGGUAGGCGGAAUGUAGGGUGGAGCGGUGAAAUGCU
RNAcentral lists this ribosomal RNA (355 nucleotides) under uncultured bacterium. RNAcentral describes it as "partial 16S ribosomal RNA". It matches the Rfam family "Bacterial small subunit ribosomal RNA", at positions 338 to 690 of the family's 1533-position model. The record is from RNAcentral.